Molecule: ribosomal RNA, 478 nt
Filed under: uncultured bacterium
Lineage: Bacteria
Description: partial 16S ribosomal RNA
Rfam family: Bacterial small subunit ribosomal RNA
Source: RNAcentral
GAUGAACGCUAGCGGCAGGCCUAACACAUGCAAGUCGAGGGAGAAGCCCUUUCGGGGGCAGAAACCGGCGCACGGGUGCGUAACGCGUAUGCAACCUACCUUUCACAGGGGGAUAGCCCGAAGAAAUUUGGAUUAAUACCCCAUAAUAUUAUUGGAUGGCAUCAUUUGAUAAUUAAAACUGCGGUGGUGAAAGAUGGGCAUGCGUCCUAUUAGCUAGUUGGAGUGGUAACGGCACCCCAAGGCUACGAUAGGUAGGGGUCCUGAGAGGGAGAUCCCCCACACUGGUACUGAGACAGGGACCAGACUCCUACGGGAGGCAGCAGUGAGGAAUAUUGGUCAAUGGUCGGGAGGCUGAACCAGCCAUGCCGCGUGCAGGAAGAAUGCCUUAUGGGUUGUAAACUGCUUUUAUAUGGGAAGAAUAAGGCGUACGUGUACGUUGAUGACGGUACCAUAUGAAUAAGCAUCGGCUAACUCCGUG